RNAcentral lists this ribosomal RNA (1052 nucleotides) under Staphylococcus argenteus. RNAcentral's name for it is "bacterial SSU rRNA". It matches the Rfam family "Bacterial small subunit ribosomal RNA", at positions 1 to 1032 of the family's 1533-position model. The record is from RNAcentral. Lineage: Bacteria; Bacillati; Bacillota; Bacilli; Caryophanales; Staphylococcaceae.
UUUAUGGAGAGUUUGAUCCUGGCUCAGGAUGAACGCUGGCGGCGUGCCUAAUACAUGCAAGUCGAGCGAACGGACGAGAAGCUUGCUUCUCUGAUGUUAGCGGCGGACGGGUGAGUAACACGUGGAUAACCUACCUAUAAGACUGGGAUAACUUCGGGAAACCGGAGCUAAUACCGGAUAAUAUUUUGAACCGCAUGGUUCAAAAGUGAAAGACGGUCUUGCUGUCACUUAUAGAUGGAUCCGCGCUGCAUUAGCUAGUUGGUAAGGUAACGGCUUACCAAGGCAACGAUGCAUAGCCGACCUGAGAGGGUGAUCGGCCACACUGGAACUGAGACACGGUCCAGACUCCUACGGGAGGCAGCAGUAGGGAAUCUUCCGCAAUGGGCGAAAGCCUGACGGAGCAACGCCGCGUGAGUGAUGAAGGUCUUCGGAUCGUAAAACUCUGUUAUUAGGGAAGAACAUAUGUGUAAGUAACUGUGCACAUCUUGACGGUACCUAAUCAGAAAGCCACGGCUAACUACGUGCCAGCAGCCGCGGUAAUACGUAGGUGGCAAGCGUUAUCCGGAAUUAUUGGGCGUAAAGCGCGCGUAGGCGGUUUUUUAAGUCUGAUGUGAAAGCCCACGGCUCAACCGUGGAGGGUCAUUGGAAACUGGAAAACUUGAGUGCAGAAGAGGAAAGUGGAAUUCCAUGUGUAGCGGUGAAAUGCGCAGAGAUAUGGAGGAACACCAGUGGCGAAGGCGACUUUCUGGUCUGUAACUGACGCUGAUGUGCGAAAGCGUGGGGAUCAAACAGGAUUAGAUACCCUGGUAGUCCACGCCGUAAACGAUGAGUGCUAAGUGUUAGGGGGUUUCCGCCCCUUAGUGCUGCAGCUAACGCAUUAAGCACUCCGCCUGGGGAGUACGACCGCAAGGUUGAAACUCAAAGGAAUUGACGGGGACCCGCACAAGCGGUGGAGCAUGUGGUUUAAUUCGAAGCAACGCGAAGAACCUUACCAAAUCUUGACAUCCUUUGACAACUCUAGAGAUAGAGCCUUCCCCUUCGGGGGACAGAGC